GCGAACGCUGGCGGCAGGCUUAACACCUGCAAGUCGAGCGGGCACUUUCGGGUGUCAGCGGCGGACGGGUGAGUAACGCGUGGGAACGUGCCCUCUGGUUCGGAAUAACUCAGGGAAACUUGAGCUAAUACCGGAUACGCCCUUUUGGGGAAAGGCUUGCUGCCGGAGGAUCGGCCCGCGUCUGAUUAGCUAGUUGGUGAGGUAACGGCUCACCAAGGCGACGAUCAGUAGCUGGUCUGAGAGGAUGAUCAGCCACACUGGGACUGAGACACGGCCCAGACUCCUACGGGAGGAAGCAGUGGGGAAUAUUGGACAAUGGGCGCAAGCCUGAUCCAGCCAUGCCGCGUGAGUGAUGAAGGCCUUAGGGUUGUAAAGCUCUUUUAUCCGGGACGAUAAUGACGGUACCGGAGGAAUAAGCCCCGGCUAACUUCGUG
This 434-nucleotide ribosomal RNA is filed under the name uncultured bacterium. Its description in RNAcentral is "partial 16S ribosomal RNA". It matches the Rfam family "Bacterial small subunit ribosomal RNA", at positions 29 to 507 of the family's 1533-position model. The record is from RNAcentral.